AACGCGAAGAACCUUACCUGGGCUUGAACUACUCGUGGUAAGCUGAUGGAAACAUUGGCUGACCCGCAAGGGAGCGAGCAGAGGUGCUGCAUGGUUGUCGUCAGCUCGUGUCGUGAGAUGUUGGGUUAAGUCCCGCAACGAGCGCAACCCCUACUCGAUGUUGCUAAUCCCGCAAGGGAUGCACUCUUCGAGAACUGCCUUCGAUAAGAAGGAGGAAGGUGGGGACGACGUCAAAUCCUCAUGGCCCUUAUGUCCAGGGCUACACACGUGCUACAAUGGCCGGUACAACGGGAAGCAAUACCGUAAGGUGGAGCCAAACCCUGAAAGCCGGCCCCAGUUCAGAUUGUGGGCUGCAACUCGCCCACAUGAAGGCGGAAUCGCUAGUAAUCGCGAAUCAGCAGGUCGCGGUGAAUACGUUCCCGGGCCUUGUACACACCGAUAGC
RNAcentral lists this ribosomal RNA (443 nucleotides) under uncultured bacterium. RNAcentral describes it as "bacterial SSU rRNA". It matches the Rfam family "Bacterial small subunit ribosomal RNA", at positions 958 to 1397 of the family's 1533-position model. The record is from RNAcentral.